Molecule: long non-coding RNA, 3531 nt
Organism: Loxodonta africana (African savanna elephant)
Lineage: Eukaryota; Metazoa; Chordata; Mammalia; Proboscidea; Elephantidae
Exons: 3
Source: RefSeq, a predicted model, not a curated record
UUUUGGGGGUAGGAUGGCAUUCUAGGGAGCAGCCUUCCGGUGUUUAACUUCCGGCAUUAGUUUCCUGCUCUUCCGGUAGCCUGAGUCCGUUUUUUUUUCCGGUUCUGUGACUCGCUUCCUUCGUUCGCAAGCAAAUUGGUUUCCCCGAGAGGGGGCGCCGAGACCUUGCAUGAAGACUGAAGGGGCACCUGACAGACAUGUUAACAUGUAGUCGUUCCUUCUUUAGAAUAUGCACAGAGAAACUAACUCCUCCAUGCUGCUGAGGCCCUGAUUCCAGAUGGAGAGAAGCAGAGAGUUUAGGGAAGAACCUGCAUUCUUUGCUGCUUUGGCGAAAAAAAUCAAGAAGGACUCUGAACAUGGUCUGGUGCACAACCAUUGAGAAGUCCGCUGUACCUCUCCAGGGAGUUCCUUCCUGCAAUCACUCUGGGAGCUCAACUGUUUCCAAUUUGUGGCACUGCCAUCUCAAUACAAGGCCUAUUUGCGGCACAACAAAGCUAGAAAUUUAGCUCUUAAAUGGCUUCACUUGGAGGUGACACCCAUAACUUCUGCUGCCAGCCCAUUGGCCAGAACUAGUCAAAUGGCCCUGCCUGACUCUAAGGAAUGGACUCAAACAUACCAACGAUCACGAAGAUGGCACAGGAUCAGGCAGUGUUUCAUUCUAUUCUACAGAAGGUCUCCAUGAGCCAGAGACAACUAGACAGCAACUAAAAACAACAGCAAACUCUAAGCGAGCUAGGAAAUAUGGGGAACACAUGGUAUUUUGCAAGCAGGAAAUGCCUUUGCAUUUCUCUCCUUAAUAUAUCACAUACCACAGUAUUGUUUCCUACUUUCCCAGUCUAGUCACAGCCCCUCCACUUGGACCUUGAACUUUAACUUUCUACCUCUAAACCCAUAAUUAUAGUUUAACCUAAUUCUUAUUCUUUAUUUUAUCUCCUGCCAGGUGACCUUGCCACUGCUUUUUCACUUGCCUGCCUUAAGGUUGGAACGUUUUCUCCCUCAUCCGCAUGCCUAGCUUUGCAUCUAGUCAUUUUCCAGGAGUUACCCGGGUAAGAGUAGCCUGGAAGGACCCCUAAACUUUCUGUAAUUGGAGUUAUUAAGAGCAAGAAACACUCUUUCUCUGGAGUGGGGUGAAGAAAGGGCUGAAGGGGUAAAAGCAGAUUGAACAAAUUCUCUGGAAGCCGGAUCCAGGAGCCAUUCCUGGUCUGCGACUCAUAACGACCCUAUAGGACAGAGUAGAACUGACCCAGAGGGUGGCUGGUGGAUUUGAACUGCCAACAUUUUAGUUAGCAGCCAUAGCUCUUAACCACUGUGCUACCAGGGUUUCCACUAUCUGCCUAGAACAGGUUAAUGCAGGUUAAAUGCAAAGGCCUCUGGGAAAGGGCCCCAGUGCUCUCUGAUAGAGAUGAGUCUUCCUCUGUCCACAGUUCACAUCCUGAACAGAAUGAGCACUACUGCCAUGCAUUUGUUUUUAAUUACACACACUAUAAGAGCAGUAUUUAAGGAAACGUAGAAGAAAAAAAAAUCAGUCUACCAGCUUCAAAACAAUUGUUGCUUGCAUACUUCUUUCCAGUCUUUAUUUUUUAUACGUUUGUGACUAUAGCAAACAUACAAUUAGCAAGCAAGCGUUCUCUUUUAAAGGUAAAUAUCCCUGGGAAAAGAACAUAUAAAGGUAAUGACUUAGUCAUUUAUAUCUUAGUAAUAAAUAGCUUGGGUAGCAUUUUUUUUUCCAUUUAACAACUAGUUGACAUCAGGGCACUAAAGGUGAGGUACAGAAAGAGCAGUGGGGGAGCUGGUAGGCCUGUAUGAAGUACUGUAGUAUGAGACUUUGGGUAGCCCAUGGCAACAAGCAAUGCAGAAAAGAGGAUCUAUGGGGGCAGAAUAUUAGAUAUAGGAAAAAUAGCUGAAAAUGAAGAGUGGUUGGCUCCGAAAGCAAAUUUGGCCAGCCUAGUGAUUUUAAAGGGGUCCCUGGGUGGCACAAAUGGUUUGCACUUGACCAGUAACCUACAGAUUGGCAGUUCAAACCUACCCAGCAGUGCCACAGAAGAUAGGCCUGCUGAUGAAAAGAUUAUAGUCAAGAAAAUCCUAUGGAGCAGUUUUAUUCUGUAUCACAUGGGGUAACCAUGAGUCUGAAUCAACUCAUCAGCAAUGGGUUUGAUAUAUUUAUAUGUAUAUAUAUAUAUUUAAGGUAUUUUAAGAUCAUAGAUCUAGUGAGCAGGAUCUUAAAAUUCAUCUAUUGGAACUCCUAUCUCGUGUUUCUCUUGACCACAUCCCCGCCAUGCACUGCCCAACUCCAGUGGUGGGAGACUCCACUGUUUCCCAAGACGUCUCCAGUGUGAUGGAUCGCAUUUAUAUGGCCUUUCUUGCCAUGGUCUUGUAACCCCUAGUAAAUGACUGGGUAGGACUAUACAAAUAAGGUGCUUGUGGCCCACCAAGGGGGUUGGAUAGCUUGUGGGGGUGGAACCAUGUAAAUAGGGUGGAACCAUGUAAAUAAGGUGUAUGGAACCCUAACGAGGGGAUUGGUAAGUUUUGUCAUCUCAUUAGGCUUAAAAUGAGCCAUCCCAGAGGUGGAAAGGGGGGACCUCACUACCACCAAGAAGAAGAGACAAGAGCAGAGCAUGUCCUUUGGACCCAGGGUUCCUGCACUGAGGACCUCCUAGAUCCAGGAGACAGCUGUAACACUGGAGAGGGUGCGAGACAGAGAGAAGCAGUGGCAGACAAGAAACAGUGGCAAAGAAACAGCAGCAGCUGAACCAGAGACUGGCAGAAUGUGAUGCGGUGGGCUUCCCGGCCCAUGGAGUAAAGUCGCUACAGUGGGUGUCCUUACCCGUGGAGUAAGAUAGCUGAGUGCCUUCAGGCAGGAGGAUUGCUGGUGGUGUGGGGUGCCUCCAGGCACUUGUUGGUAGAGCUAAAGAGCUGUCCUACACUUGAGUAGGGCAGAGGCCAGACUAAAGGGCUGAGGGCUAGAGAGAAGCCUGCCUGCAGGCAUGGCUGUUUUAAAAGAGGCUGUCUUGAUUGAAGAACUGUAUCCUGAAUUGUUCCUGAUCCUGAAUUUUAACCUGUUACUUCCCUAAUAAAUCCCAUAACUGUGACUAUGAUCUGUAAGUUCUAUGUGGCCAUUGCAACGAAUUAUUGAACCCAGCAGAGGGGUAGAGAGUGCUGUUGGAGGGGUGGCUAAUGUUAGAAUUGGUAAAAAGGUGGGAGAGAGGAGGUAUGUCUGACUUCCAUCUCAUAGGAAUCAGCUUUGGGCUGAUGCUCACAGUGAUUCUGUCUUCCCCUCGUGAAGUCACAGAAGGUCAGAUGCCCGCCACGCCAUUUUUACAAUGUCUCUAACCAUUUUUGGACAACUCCCACUGAUCAAAAAAAAUUUUUUUCUUAUAUUGAGACACAAAUGCACCUGCUCCUAGCUUUGAUUAUAAUCCUUCCUCUAGUUCUCUGUCUAUAUGACAGGUAAUUUGAAGAUAGCUUUGAGGCUGCUUUUCAAUAGGGUAAUCAAUGUCCAGUUGUUACUUCAGGCUUUCUACCCGUGUCAAG